This 105-nucleotide microRNA precursor is filed under the name Canis lupus familiaris (dog). Its description in RNAcentral is "mir-8834 microRNA precursor family". It matches the Rfam family "mir-8834 microRNA precursor family". Lineage: Eukaryota; Metazoa; Chordata; Mammalia; Carnivora; Canidae. RNAcentral also lists the same sequence under 1 other name. The record is from Rfam by way of RNAcentral.
AGGAGGAACAACCCCAGUGGCGGGGCCAGCUCUGGAGCCCUGGAUUCAGCUCCCACAGUAACUCCGGAGCUCUCCAUCUGCAGGGCCUGGAGGCUCCGGGGCAGG